AGGACAUCACAGACACCCACGGGGAGAAGUCCUGCUUCUUUUCCAUCGUUUCAUUUCAAUCUAUUUCUUAGAAUUAAAAAAAAAAAAAAAAGAAGCUAGCCAGCUGCAGCCAGACUGAAGAGUGUCCUGGGCUAGAGGAGGACUCUGCUUUAAGUCACUUGUGCAUACCUAUUUCUUUUGAAUCUGCACUAUCAUCUUGUCAUUCCUAUUUAAUUGGCUUUUAUUUCUGUUUCUUUUAUGCCUACCCCGGACAGGAAGUGUCUCAUUUUCAUUUAGCGAAUAGGCAAUUAUCCCAGACUUACUGGGGCCAGUUCCUUCUGGACGCUAAAGCACACCUCUGUGCUGAGAAGGGGCUGGGGCAGGUGUACUGGUAACAGGUGGGUUCCUCUACCACAGUGCUGUUGACACAGAAACUAAAGCCACAUGUGGCUGCUGAGCACUUAAAGGGACUGGUGUGAUUGAGGAAGUGCUUUUCUAAAAUGUAAUUUUAAUUAAAGAGCCACACAUGAUUGCUCCAUGAGCCAGCACGGCCCUGAAGGGCCUAGAGGAGACAGCUAAAGGCUCCUCUUCAUAGCAUCCCAGAGUGGAAGGAAGAGACCUAAGGGAGCUUCUGUCUGUCUCCAAAAGAUUUCCCAAGGUCCAGCGGGGGAGGGACCUGCCUAGGGUCAUCCAGCCUGGCCCACAGCCUGGAGUCCUCCUCCCAGCCAAGGAUUCCUUCCCCUGCUGUGUCUCCUCCAAGUUCAGAGGAGGAGAGAAGGCUUGAAGGGGAGAGCAAUGGCGGUGAUUAGAAGACCAAGGUUCUAGGUCCGGUGCUGCCAUGAGUUUGAUAUGUGUCUUUGGAGAAUAGGCUGACCUCUGAGGACCUCUGUUUUGUCAUCCAUGGAAUGAAAGUUUAGACUCUUUUCUCUCCUAGAAAUGGAGAGAAGGUGGCCUGUGACAUACUCGGGGUGACUGGGGCUCUUGAGGCAGGGACGGUGAGUGGGGGGUCAGAAUCCCUUCCACCCAGCUCUCUCCCCACUGUGACAGCUCCUGGGACACCGCAGAAACUCUAGGGCUCCAAGGAAUACAAGUUGAAAGGCACGAUUCCACAAUACUUGUAAACUACGAAUCGUGCACCCAGGUGUUUGAGAAAGGCUCGCUGGGGGAUGUGGAAUUGAAGCUGGACGAAGGGUCUGGAGAGACUGGAGGUGGGAGAGCAAAGAGGUCCUAACCAGGCAAGGUGCACAGUGCGGGGCAGUAGGGACCUGGCUUGGGUGGAUGGCGGAAAGCAGCCCGACCUCAGGAUGGCACGCCCCAUCUUCCGCUUCAUGUGCAGAGAAGGAGCUCAGUGAGGAAAGCAUCAGCUGGCCUGAGCCACUGCUUGUUUAUGAUGGAGGAUGAAAUCCACACCUCCUCAAAAGCCCUGCCUGUCCCGCCAUUUGUCUUUCUGCAAUGGAAAAAUAACAAAAAAGGCGGAUUCUGUUGGAAGGUGGGUGGUUUACUCAGUGUGCUCCUCUUAGCAGCCCCAGCAGUUUUUGCUUCUCCAGAGUGGGAUUAUUUUCCUUUUGGACAACCUGGCUCUGUGGGAGCACGUGGAUGGAAAACACGAUGCCGCGAGCUUCCAUCGGUGUGCCAGAGGCUGCAGCUUAAAUCAGAGCCAAUGGAAAGGGCAGGUUACAGGAAGCCAUGGAGACUCGGGAAGUCUGCUCAGUGACAUCCCAAAGUGCAGGGCUGAUCUGAGCGCAACCUAACGUUUCGGGGCUCACCCCAGAGGUUCCCUCUCUCAGAAUCGCUCGAUGGACGAAAGCUGCCAAGGGUGACUGCUUUUCUGGAGUUCACCUGUCCAUCAUGAAUUAAUCC
This 1839-nucleotide long non-coding RNA is filed under the name Homo sapiens (human). RNAcentral's name for it is "non-protein coding lnc-USP6NL-3:1". Lineage: Eukaryota; Metazoa; Chordata; Mammalia; Primates; Hominidae. The record is from RNAcentral.